RNAcentral lists this ribosomal RNA (395 nucleotides) under uncultured bacterium. RNAcentral's name for it is "bacterial SSU rRNA". It matches the Rfam family "Bacterial small subunit ribosomal RNA", at positions 30 to 429 of the family's 1533-position model. The record is from RNAcentral.
AUUGAACGCUGGCGGCAUGCCUUACACAUGCAAGUCGAACGGCAGCGGACCUUCGGGUGCCGGCGAGUGGCGAACGGGUGAGUAAUAUAUCGGAACGUACCUUUCAGUGGGGGAGUAACGUAGCGAAAGUUACGCUAAUACCGCAUAUUCUGUGAGCAGGAAAGCAGGGGAUCGCAAGACCUUGCGCUGAUUGAGCGGCCGAUAUCAGAUUAGCUAGUUGGUGAGGUAAAGGCUCACCAAGGCGACGAUCUGUAGCGGGUCUGAGAGGAUGAUCCGCCACACUGGAACUGAGACACGGUCCAGACUCCUACGGGAGGCAGCAGUGGGGAAUUUUGGACAAUGGGCGCAAGCCUGAUCCAGCCGUGCCGCGUGAGUGAAGAAGGCCUCGGUGUAAG